Long non-coding RNA from Etheostoma spectabile (orangethroat darter), 416 nucleotides. RefSeq lists it as uncharacterized. NCBI's taxonomy places the organism in Eukaryota, Metazoa, Chordata, Actinopteri, Perciformes, Percidae. The record is from RefSeq and is a predicted model, not a curated record. The transcript is spliced from 3 exons.
ACAGGCUGAAAGCAUGCAGCUAAAGACACAGGGUAAUGUUAGCUUACAGGCUGAUAGCAUGCAGCUAAAGACACAGGGUCACGUUAGCUUACAGGCUGAUAGCAUGCAGUAAAAGACCAGGGUCACGUUAGCUACAGGCUGAUAGUAUGCAGCUAAAGGACACAGGGUAAUGUUAGCUUACAGGCUGUGCGCAUGCAGCUAAAGAACCGGGGAACAUAGCUACCAGUGGUAGCAUGCAGCUAAAGACAAAGGGUAAUGUUAGUUUACCGGCUGAUAGCAUGCAGCUAAAGACACAGGGUCACGUUAGCUUACAGGCUGAGAGCUGCAGUAAAGACACAGGGUCACGUUAGCUACAGGCUGAUAGUAUGCAGGCUAAAGGACACAGGGUAAUGUUAGCUUACAGGCUGUGCGCAUGC